This 261-nucleotide ribosomal RNA is filed under the name uncultured archaeon. Its description in RNAcentral is "partial 16S ribosomal RNA". It matches the Rfam family "Archaeal small subunit ribosomal RNA", at positions 748 to 1009 of the family's 1478-position model. The record is from RNAcentral.
CAGCCGUAAACUAUGCUCGCUAGGUGUCAGGCAUGGCGCGACCGAGUCUGGUGCCGCAGGGAAGCCGUGAAGCGAGCCACCUGGGAAGUACGGCCGCAAGGCUGAAACUUAAAGGAAUUGGCGGGGGAGCACAACAACGGGUGGAGCCUGCGGUUUAAUUGGACUCAACGCCGGACAACUCACCGGGAACGACAGCAAUAUGUAGGCCAGGCUGAAGACCUUGCCUGAAUCGCUGAGAGGAGGUGCAUGGCGUAGACGUCU